This 23-nucleotide small nuclear RNA is filed under the name Arabidopsis thaliana (thale cress). Its description in RNAcentral is "snRNA_02944". Lineage: Eukaryota; Viridiplantae; Streptophyta; Magnoliopsida; Brassicales; Brassicaceae. The record is from RNAcentral.
ACAAUAAAACAGCUCGAGGGAAC